RNAcentral lists this ribosomal RNA (253 nucleotides) under uncultured bacterium. RNAcentral describes it as "partial 16S ribosomal RNA". It matches the Rfam family "Bacterial small subunit ribosomal RNA", at positions 524 to 776 of the family's 1533-position model. The record is from RNAcentral.
UACGUAGGGGGCAAGCGUUAUCCGGAUUUACUGGGUGUAAAGGGAGCGUAGGCGGCGAUGCAAGUCAGAAGUGAAAGCCCGGGGCUCAACUCCGGGACUGCUUCUGAAACUGUGUUGCUAGAUUGCAGGAGAGGUAAGUGGAAUUCCUAGUGUAGCGGUGAAAUGCGUAGAUAUUAGGAGGAACACCAGUGGCGAAGGCGGCUUACUGGACUGUAAAUGACGCUGAGGCUCGAAAGCGUGGGGAGCAAACAGG